Molecule: RNA transcript, 893 nt
Organism: Mus musculus (house mouse)
Lineage: Eukaryota; Metazoa; Chordata; Mammalia; Rodentia; Muridae
Gene name: predicted gene, 30181
Exons: 1
Source: RefSeq, a predicted model, not a curated record
AAUGACCUCAUCCAGAAGAGAACUGAGAGAACUCUACAUAGCCAGAGGUCAAACUUCAGAUGCUUCUGCUACCUCCAGUCCAGAGCUGCUGGUAAAACCUGCCUGCUCAUCAGUUACCCGACCAAUGCAUUUCCUGGACAGUACAUCCCCACCGUCUUUGACAACUAGUCUGCCAAUGUUAUGGUAGAUGGAAAACCAGUGAAUCUGGGCCUAUGGGACACAGCUGGACAAGAAGAUCAUGACAGAUUGCAUCCCCUCUCCUACCUGCAAACAGACGUGUUCUUAAUUUGCUUUUCCCUUGUGAGUCCUGCAUCAUUUGAAAAUGUCUGUGUAAAGUGGUCUCCUGAAGUGCGACACCACUGUCCCAAUACUCCUAUCAUCCUAGUGGGGACGAAGCUUGAUCUUAGGGAUGAUAAGGACACCAUUGAGAAGCUGAAGGAGAAGAAGCUGACUCCCAUCACCUACCCGCAGGGGUAGCCAUGGCCAAAGAGAUCGGUGCUGUUAAAUACCUGGAGUGCUCAGCUCUCACACAGCAAGUACUCAAGACAGUGUUUGACGAAGCUAUCCGAGCAGUUCUCUGUCCCCCUCCUGUCAAGAAGAGGAGAGAAUGCCUGCUGUUGUAAAUGUCGGAGCCUGUCGUUCUCGGUCCUGUCUGGAACCUUUGUACGCUUUGCUCAAAAAUCAGCGGAGCCUUCGCUUGCAGUUGAUGCUGAGUUUUUGUUACAGAUUAAUUUUUCCAUAAAACCAUUUUGAACCAAUGAACCAGCCAAUAAGUUUAAGGUUCUGUUUUAAAUGUAAGAAUUCCAACUUACAGUCUAUUAAAAUUCAGCCCUAAAAUGACAAAGCCUUCUUCAAGCCUUAUUUUUAAAAUCCCCCAUUCUUGCUCAGAUUAA